Molecule: long non-coding RNA, 1618 nt
Organism: Gadus macrocephalus (Pacific cod)
Lineage: Eukaryota; Metazoa; Chordata; Actinopteri; Gadiformes; Gadidae
Exons: 2
Source: RefSeq, a predicted model, not a curated record
GUGAUUGUGACUAGAGGUCGACCGAUGUAUCGGUCGGCCGAUGUAUCGGGCCGAUAUUUGUCAUUUUUUAAUCUAUCGGCAUCGGCCGAUAUCUGUGUUUAGUAGCGCCGAUUUAUAGUCAGGCAUGUCCGCGGGCAGCUCCGUGUUAUUGGUACCGGCAGAACGCAUGUGAAGGACCCCAACCCAAAACUUGUAAUCCUGGGAGAUAAGGUAAGGCUUAAAUUCUGCUAUUUCAAAGUUGUAUGGUGGUAACAUAUUUACUAGGUUAUAUAUGUUACAAGUAAACUAUGAAGUGUUGCUUCACUUAGUGAAAGGAAAAAAAAAAAAAAAAAACGAAAAGCAUUGAACCGUCGAGAGCUGUAACCUAAGGCUACAGCUGAUUGAGUUCACAGGCUCACAGUUAACUUGUCCUUGCUGUUAGCUUGAAGGACUUUACUCGAAAUCUAGUAGCAGCUUGCUUGCUUACAGUAAUAUGUUGGCCCAAAUGUUAUGAGUUCUGCUUAAAUUUUCCUGUAUUGGAGUCGAAAAAUGUCCCUCUGUUCGUGGGGUGGAGGAGGCGGCAUUAUGUUGCGCUACGUUAUGCUACUCCGCCCCUCUCACAGACAGCUCCGUGCUUGGAGACACAGAGCAGCCAUGGAGCAGCUCAGAACGGUGUAUGACAUUUGUUCAGAAGCGUGGUUUAGGUGACGCAGACAAUAGCCGAGUUUCCAACUUAUUUACAUCAAAGAAAAUUCACCUCAAGAACAUGCGCAGCUGCGUGUGUUUCUAUCAACGUGUUUGCGAAUAAAAAUGGAUCGUUAGCCUGAUGAAGUGACGUGUUCAGACCAAUGUCUGUAUAUAGCCUACGUCCACAGUAAAGUAGUAUAACGUUAAUAGUCAAGAAUGUGAGAAAUCACAAAGGGUUUAGCAUUGCCCUUGCAAGUCUGUGCAUCAUGACAGUUAUUUUGUUAUUUAUGUAUUUGUGUGAUUACUGCUAGAUUAUGGUAAUUUGGUUUUAAAAGCAAAAGGUUAAAAACAAAAACAACACAUAAGGGAAGGUUUUGUUUCUUUUACGCAUUUUUCUAAAUUAGUUGAGAAUGCUGCUCAGGGAAGCUGUUUUAUGCUGCUCAGUUGUUUACUUGAGGUUCUGUUUUAUAUACAAAUUAUAUUCUGUUUUAUAUACAAAUGUUUGUUUUACAUGUUUUAUGUUCUGUUUUAUAUACACAUGCACUUUAAACUGUGUCAAAUGUCAUUUUCAUUUUGUUGCUGGUUGCUAGUGUGUUUGCAGUACUACUGUUUAUUUUUUAUGUAACAUAUUUUUAUAUUUUCCAAGUUAAUUUAUUUUUAUAUUUUCCAAGUUAAUUUAUUUUAUUUAUAAAAUAUUAAAUUUUUCUUUAAAUGAAUAUUUCAGUUAACACUUGCGCCCAAACAAAACUGGUAUGUAUGACUCAAGGUUCAAGUCAGAGUUCAAUAAAUGUUAAAAAAUGUUAAAACAAAUUGUGUGCAUCUACUUAUUAUUAGUGUGACGCUUUAGCAUGCAAACUAAUGGGAAAACUUUUAGAUAUCGGCCCUAAAAAUCGGCCCAAAAAAAUCGGCAGCCCAUAUCGGCUAUCGGUUAACCCUGACCUCUAAGUAUCGG